Molecule: non-coding RNA, 73 nt
Organism: Diaporthe sp. PMI_573
Lineage: Eukaryota; Fungi; Ascomycota; Sordariomycetes; Diaporthales; Diaporthaceae
Source: the annotation of a GenBank genome assembly
UGUACUAUGGUCCGGUGGUUAGGAUAUUGGCCCUUGACAGUCAAUGGCCUGGGUUCGAUUCCCAGUGGUUCCC